Molecule: ribosomal RNA, 235 nt
Filed under: uncultured Candidatus Saccharibacteria bacterium
Lineage: Bacteria; Candidatus Saccharimonadota
Description: partial 16S ribosomal RNA
Rfam family: Bacterial small subunit ribosomal RNA
Source: RNAcentral
AAGUGAAUGGUGAAAUCUGGCGGCUCAACCGUACAGACUAUUAUUCAAACUGGUAAACUCGAGAAUGGUAGAGGUAACUGGAAUUUCUAGUGUAGGAGUGAAAUCCGUAGAUAUUAGAAGGAACACCAAUGGCGUAGGCAGGUUACUGGACCAUUUCUGACACUGAGGCACGAAAGCGUGGGGAGCGAACCGGAUUAGAUACCCGGGUAGUCCACGCCGUAAACUAUGGAUACUA